This 120-nucleotide ribosomal RNA is filed under the name uncultured bacterium. Its description in RNAcentral is "partial 16S ribosomal RNA". It matches the Rfam family "Bacterial small subunit ribosomal RNA", at positions 215 to 334 of the family's 1533-position model. The record is from RNAcentral.
GCGGUUGGGGAUGGGCUCGCGGCCUAUCAGCUUGUUGGUGGGGUAAUGGCCUACCAAGGCUUCGACGGGUAGCCGGCCUGAGAGGGCGACCGGCCACACUGGGACUGAGACACGGCCCAG